RNAcentral lists this long non-coding RNA (239 nucleotides) under Musa acuminata (dwarf banana). Its description in RNAcentral is "long non-coding RNA (MACU_LNC008285)". The record is from RNAcentral. Lineage: Eukaryota; Viridiplantae; Streptophyta; Magnoliopsida; Zingiberales; Musaceae.
UCAUCCCCAAUUUUGAUGAACUCCCGAUGAUCUUCUGACGAGCUUUCGACGAACUCUCGAUGAACUUUCGGCAAGCUUUCACUGCAUCAUCCAAUCCUUCGGUGUAUCCCCUGAUUCAUCCGGCCCGAUGCCCGAUCAAUGACUCUGGCCCAAUAUUUGAUUCUUCGUUAAUCAUUUUGCCUUACGAGUGUAGUUAGUCCUAUAUCACUUAUCUCAAUAUAUAGUUUAGAUCAUUAAUU